AUGCCAGACCCCUUUGCCGCCGCCGCUUUCAGGCGCUCGGCCCGUCGCCCCUGGGUGCUCACCGACUCGAAGUGCCACAUCGGCGACCGCGACAACGGGACAACCGCCCGCGGCGUCACCAGCCAGAGCGGCGACAUCAAGGUGACUUUCGAGCUGGCUGACCCGCCGGGCGUUUCUCGCUGCUUCGUCCACUGCCCCGGCCUGGCGGAGGGCCGCUACGGCGGAGAUCCCGUGGUUGUGAGUUCGGCGGAGGCGUUCGUCCUUCUCGUCGUCCCGUUCACCGAAGGCUACAGGCGCAGGGAGUACAAGGAUUUCUUCGUCUACAGGGCAGGUCCAGGGGCUCCAUCUCUCCGCCUUCUCCCCGCCUCCUACCGCUGCUGUCCCGACUACGUCACGCUGGCCGGCGUCGUGCCCCUCGGCGGCGGCGAUCUCAACAACGAAGACUACGCCGCGGUCUUGCCCGUCGCGUCGCGAUCGCGACACACAGAAGACUCUAACAGCAAGAAGUACAUCGGCAUCCGCGUGUAUCGCUCCGAUAAGUCUGAGUGGCCAUGGUGCUACAAGAUGGCCAAAAUCGCCAUGGACACCAAGACAUACAACAACCAUCACCAAGUGAUGCGGCACCAAGGCACCAGAGUGAUCUUCGCCGGAGCAGGAACACUUGGCUGGGUCAAUCAUUGGCACGGCAUUCUGCUAUGCAACGUGCUGGACAACAAUCCGGUCAUGCGUUUGAUCCAAUGGCCCGUUCCGAUCCCUUGCGAUCUGGUGUCGCGGUUUGGCAUAGGAGUCGACGAUAUCUACCCGCGCCCGUCUCGCGAUGUCGCAAUAAGCAAUGGCGUGAUCAGAUUCGUUGAGCUGAAAUCUUGUUCGUGUACUGAGUCACGCAAUGAGAAAGGGGUCAUUGGCCAAGGCUGGACGGCCACCACAUGGAAUUGGGACAUCCGCUCAAAGAAAUGGCACAAGAGGUUUACCAUCAAGGCUGAUAACGUGCCUGUCACAGGUUCAAGUUUCCCUAAGAUAUCGGCUGGCAAGAGGUUGAGCUGGGACAAGGUGGUUCAUGGUGGGCCCACUCUUAGCUUGUGUGACGACGAUGUUGUCUACAUAAUGGCUAGACUGGACAUCCGCCCGCCGGUUGCAUGGAUGCUUGCCAUUAACAUCAGAGAGGGAACAUUGGAAGCGGUCAAGCAGUGUUCUGCUGAAAAGAUGCUCGGUCUUGAGCCGACUUAUGUUCAGUGUGCCUUCUCCAACUACAUCAAGCAGUGGAGAAGGCGAUGA
This 1275-nucleotide ribosomal RNA is filed under the name Triticum aestivum (bread wheat). Its description in RNAcentral is "partial small subunit ribosomal RNA". The record is from RNAcentral. Lineage: Eukaryota; Viridiplantae; Streptophyta; Magnoliopsida; Poales; Poaceae.